Molecule: microRNA precursor, 124 nt
Filed under: Gossypium arboreum
Lineage: Eukaryota; Viridiplantae; Streptophyta; Magnoliopsida; Malvales; Malvaceae
Description: MIR7504 microRNA precursor family
Rfam family: MIR7504 microRNA precursor family
Source: Rfam by way of RNAcentral
AAUAGGAGCAUAGCAAAUUAGAUUUUUCCUUCUGAUUUUCAGCUUUUUUCUCUUGAAAAAAAAUUCAAAACCAACUAAAAAUACUAAAAUUAGGAGGAAAACUAUGAUUUGUCAUACUCUUAUU